Engraulis encrasicolus (European anchovy) is the source of this 579-nucleotide long non-coding RNA. RefSeq lists it as uncharacterized. Lineage: Eukaryota; Metazoa; Chordata; Actinopteri; Clupeiformes; Engraulidae. The transcript has 3 exons. The record is from RefSeq and is a predicted model, not a curated record.
AUAAGAUUCUGUUUGGCAGUCCCGAGGCCUGGCUGAGCGCGAAGUGGGAGGACAUGCUAGCCACCGAUGUAUACAAGACCAACCUGAUCGGCGUAUACUAGUUGUCGAUGAAGUCCAUCUUACUUAUAUAAAUGGAGGAAGGCUGAGAAAGGACGGAAGGCUUUUAGGGAAAGCUUUGCGAGGUUGGGGAACUGAGAGCCAUCGUGAAACCAGAAACACCGGUACUGGCAUUGACUGUGUCUGCGGAAUUGCACUCAAGAGAAAUUGUCAGGAGACCGCUCCAACUCCAAAACCCAGUUGACAUCAUUGCCAGCCCCAAUCGACCCAACAUCAGACUCUCCAUAAGACGACUUUCGAGUGAGUCACUGGACUGUUUCGACUGGCUCGUGAAGGACUUGACAGAGAAAGGAGUGGAGAUGUCACCAGUCAAUAUAUACUGCCGGACAAUAAACACGAGGGAGAAAACGAUGCUUAAAGAAAGUCUAAAUGGCUGCUUUAGGAAAGCCCUGUAUGUACAUUUUGAGCCUCACGUGUCCAGUGUGGAGCCUGGCCAUUCCUGCUGCACCUAUUGCCACUCAU